Engraulis encrasicolus (European anchovy) is the source of this 1703-nucleotide long non-coding RNA. RefSeq lists it as uncharacterized. The record is from RefSeq and is a predicted model, not a curated record. The transcript has 4 exons. NCBI's taxonomy places the organism in Eukaryota, Metazoa, Chordata, Actinopteri, Clupeiformes, Engraulidae.
GCGGUGGUAAGUUUUUAGUAACUUUCUGGUAAGUUAAAAAAGUAAAUGUUAUAACUCACACAAAUUUGACCUAAAGUUUACUAUUCAAUGCAAUAGUCUUCUGAUAUGAUGCAUUUGGGUGAUCGAAGCACUACAGAUGGCCAGUGGGGAUGGAUCAUUACACAUUGGCAAUCAAUAUGAAUGAUUCUACACAAGUAUGCGUAAUGUUCUUUUUUUUCUACAGACCACAAAAAGCAAACACUGCAUCUGUAUUAUUUGUAUACUUCCCAGAAAAGUUACUUAAAGCUCAGACAGUAACACAAUAGUCUUAUGUGCUGUCAUUAUGGGCAAUGGUCUCAAAAUACCUCACAUUGUUUAGCGUGCCAGCCAAAAGGUAAGACAAGAGCCAUUUCUUCUCCUGUUUAUAUUAUAUUACUUUUUUAUUUACAGGAAAUGCAUUGAAAGCUAUUUUUCUAGUGUGCAAACGUGACAGAACACAGAAACACAGUGAGUUUUAAUUGAUGAGGUCAGGUGCAAAUAGCCGAAUGAGACCAUGCCAUAGUCAAAAUAUCAACGCGCUUGUUCAGCUAACUCAAAGACGCAACGUGAACUCAAAGACGCAGGAGAGGCGCUUCCCAGCCCAGGCGUUUUCAUGCUAUUUUUGUGUCACCCUCCCAUCUGUACUGGCAACACUUUGUGACUGCUCACUGUUUUUUUUCCAUAUCACCAAGAAAUUCCUCACCCGUUUUUGUGACCUUCAAAAAGCAUCGUCUUUGGUUUAAACGUAACCGCGGUCCAAAACGCGGGUGAGGUGCGCACAACGUUAAAAGCCGGCAAACAGUGCAAUGCGUCUCUUCUAGGGCAGCGGCAUAAAGACGGCAGCCAUGUUGACUAGCAUGAAUAGGAACUGUGAAAAGCCGAACACAAGAAAAGGACCCACAUACUGUCGGCCUCUCGCCAAGGUAACACCGCUCCAGGCUGUCGUUUUGCUUGCCUGAUAAGAAAUACGACCAGCCACGGCGCGCUAGACACAACCACGCAGCUUUACAAUUUUGGAAUGCGAUUCAUUGACAACUAUCCGAUUCGCGGUCCAUGCAGGUGUAAAACACAACUCCGACGGCAACUUAUUAACAUCCAGUUGAGACAGAACGUAUUUGAUCAAUGAAACGUGCUAAACAUAGCAGUAGUGCUAAGCUAUGACUUCAUUGCUAGAGUUCCUUGCUUGUAACCCUAUGACAUACACCCUGAGCCAUUACUCUUGCCCAGUUGGAUCCAAGCUAUUUGACUCUUGAAGUAGCAAGAGAGGUGAAAGUAGAGUGGUCCAUUAUCACCUGAGAAAAGAGAGAUGCGCAGGUCUCAGGGCUUCAAUGGGCAGUCUUCAGGGAGCAUCAUUACUGAUUUCAACACUGAAGGGACUUAUUCCCCAGUGACCUCACAAGGCGCCUGCCUGCCAUAUGCUUUUGACCACCAGGGAGGAAAACGAUGCCUCUGUUAAUCCCUUUGGAAAGGAAUUUUAUUGUGCCACUGUAGCCUGGAUGCAACUAUGAGACAGGUGUCCCUCUCAGCAUCUUCCCAUGGCGGAAAAAAGGAUUACUGGCACGAGGUAGUCUCCUAUUGGACUGCCAUUAAAGAGGACCAGGUUCUAUUGUCAGAGAGCGAUGCGGUCGUCUCACCUGAGAGUUGGGCUGUAGGCCGAUGUGUGGGGUGGAGCUCUUCUGGAGGUU